RNAcentral lists this unclassified non-coding RNA (213 nucleotides) under Hevea brasiliensis (rubber tree). Lineage: Eukaryota; Viridiplantae; Streptophyta; Magnoliopsida; Malpighiales; Euphorbiaceae. The record is from RNAcentral.
GGGAGAUCUAUCUAAACAAUCUGUACCCAACCAUUCCAUUCACAACAGGAAAACAUUUGAAGGCACUAAAAACAACUGGAAGAUUUUUACUAAAGCCAUCUUGCUAUCAUACAUUUCCAGAGAGAAAUUUUAGAAAAUUUUGUAGAUGUACACAACUUUGUAUCCAAGGAUUAAGUAAGAGUUUAAAGAACACUUGACCUUUACUUCCUAACA